UAGACAGUGGAUCUCUUGGGACGAACAGUUGAAAGUCUUUUUCUCACUCUCCUUUUCUCUCUCUCUCUCUCUCUCUCUCUCUCUCUCUCUCUCUCUCUCUCUCUCUCCUGUUAUUCUGCUGUAAGUGGACGAGCUGGGGCUAUGCAUCUCCAGAGUGAUUCAUUCGAUUGAAGAAAGGAGACAAAACUAGCUAGCUGCCAGUCACCAGCCAGAGGGGUGUGUUAACUAGCUCCAAGUCUGACCUCUCCUCUGCUCUCCUCUUCUCUCCUCUUCUCUGUGGCAACCGAACACAGGAUAGGACAACCCUUCUCUCUCUCUCAUCUCCUCUCCUCUCCACCACUGGCUGUGGGAACUGGGAACAAGACCGGUAUAGCCCCCUCUAUACGCCCCCAAAAGAGACCUCGGCACAGGACAGACUGAGCUUCUGCUGCUGGAUCUGAAAUGGCACAUUCCGUAGAGCAGUCUUCCCAGAAGGAACUCCUCCACUGACUGCUCCACUCCUCAGCUGAACUCAGUCGGCUCCACGCGGCACUGCUGGAUCUGGGAGCAUGGGAGGGUCUGACUGGGAGCAGCCUGAGGACACAGGUGGACCACAGUUGGGGAGACAUCUGGAGGCCGCACAGCCACAGGCCAGGGACGGGCAACCGGCACAGCUUGCUACCAGUCUGGCUGUGGUGGGGAGGGUUCCUGGCACCGUGAUUUGGUGCACAAACAUAAACGAAAAUCACAUUGCCAGGGAUUUCCACCCUUUCACAUGUAGUUCUCCAGGUGGGGUCUGUAUGUUUUGCCCGUCAGGAGGACUUUCAUGUCUGUCUUCUGUCUUGGCCCUAUGUGGUCUAUGGAAACAAUAUAAUGUAAAAUAUUAGAGCGAGUGGAUAGGAAGGUUUAAUGUCAGGAAGUUCAACUCCAGAUAUAAGCUGUUCUUAGCUCUCAUAGUGAUUUACAGAUUACCUCCUGGUAUUAGCUCCUUACAAACAAAAUCCCAAACAAAAAACAACUUUCCCCUGUGGAAAGUGUUUUUAUUCCUCUAAAGCUGCAGAUGAGAGUACAAGCUGAAAUCCAAACUGUUCUUUACAAAUGGCCAGGAAGUAAAUCCAAUGCAUUUGAAAGCAGGCCAGGUUUACACAAUGUAUCAUAUUUUGGGUAAAGAUCAUCACCGUUAGGAAUGCACAAUGUCAUAUAGCUUUAGAACUAAGGAGAUUGUCUGCAGACUCUCUAUUUGAACUGUAGGAAACUGAUCCUACUUAGGCAGCCUUUGCUUAUAGACUUAAGGAGUGGUUAGAUUUAAAGAACAAAGAGUGUUUUACCAUCUAUAGAAGUCUACAAAGUACCUAUAGCUUUAGAGCAGCCAUACUCAACAGGCGGACCGCGGUCCAGGUUUGGACCCAGAACGGGGUCAAUACAGACCACGGGUCCCAACAAUUAGCUUUUUAUAAAAGGGGCGCUAGAGUGGUUGUCUACUGUGGACAUAUGGAAAUUAUCUAGAGAAUAUUAAAAUUGAAUGCUGACCCUUGGUAACAUUCGGGAUUUGCUAUUUUUCAUGGUUCUAGGUCUAUUUUCAAGCAUUUUGAACAAUGAUCCUUUAGGGAGCCAAAUAAUGCUGCUCUUUUACGUGAAUGGUGCCAAAAGAUGCGGCUCACGGAAAAGACUCGGAAGGCCCAUAGCUAAUAUGAACACACAUAAUACAUGGCAAAAUGUGUAGAAUUGCAGAACAUUUGUUUAAAACUCUCGCCAACAAGAGGAGCAUGUACAGUUUGAACAGUUUGGGGUCGCACGGGUUGCGAGGUGGCGAUUUCUUACGACACCGAUAACUCACAAUAUCCAUCAAGACCUUUGCAACCUAGGAAAUGUGUGUGAUCGGACCUUCUCAAAUAGAACCCCUGCUAUAGACGAAUCAAUUAAAGUUUCUCCCAACUAUCUGCCAGUGAAAGUCUCUAUUCUUUUCCUCAUUUGCAUCCUGUCAUGAGCAGCCAAUUGCUAAAGGCACAGAGCUUAGCUAAUUGGUGAGCAUUGAUCCCUCUUAUAUGUUGUUCACAGUGGCUAAGUUCAGUGCCUGAGGUGAAAUAGUUGAUGUGGCGGGAUGUGUUCCAAACGAUGGCGAUGAAUGCAAAGAGCACUGGCUGAGAUCUGAGAUGUGAAGAUGAAGGAAGAGGGUGGAAAGAGAGGGACAGAGUUGUGCAGCAGUGGAACGCAGCAGGAUCCCCGUAAAGAACGGAGGAAGAAAUGCUACUGAGAGAAUGUCUGGCCAGCCUAGGCAUGCCUAGUUCCACUCCACCUCAGUCAGUCAAUCAGAGCACAGCACCCCACCUUUGUCACUCAGCACAGGCACUAGUUUAUGAGGCAUGCCUCACUUCACCUCCUUCCCAGAGCUGUAUGUGGAGGCUAGGCUGCCUGCCCAACAUUCACACUCUGAGCUGUGGAGGACUGUGGGUGUUUGGUACUUGGUACAGUACCAUGCCAAGUAACUCUGAGGCCACUUUACGAGUGUGUGAAAUUAACUUUAUGAGUUAACAUACAGUGGGGUCCAAAAUUAUUGACACCCUUGAUAAAGAUGAGCAGUAAUGACUGUAUAAAAUAAAUAAUUCAAAUACUGAGCUAUAUUGUAUGCUCAACGUUUUGGGGGGAAUUAUAUUAUUCUAUACUAGUACAAUUGCUCAGAGAAAGAGAUUUUGCUUAACAAGUAACAUUUUUUCCUCUCAAAAAGUUAGGGGUCAAAAUUGAUUGACACCCCUAAAGAUUCUUAUAAAUAAAGUAGUGAAAAGUGUAGUAUUUGGUCCCAUAUUCCUAGCACACAUGUCAAUUUCUGUUAGUUAUGGUUGCUUUUCUGAUUAUUUUCUGCCCAAUAUUAUACAUUUUAUUAUAAUUAAGAAUAUGAUAUGUUUCUAAACACUUCUACAUUAAUGUAGACGCUACCAUGAUUAAUGAUAAUCCUGAAUGACCUGUGAAUAACGAUGAGUGAGAAAGUUACAGAGGACGGUAUUGUUGGGAAAGAGCAAGCAAGAAAGACAUUUCAUUGUACUACUGCACGUGACAAUAAAAACUUGUCUUGGGGGUAUGAUCUUUGACCCUCUGUAACGCUACUUCCUUGUUCUAAAAUGUAUUCAAUUAAAAACUUUCAUCAAUCUACAUACAAUACCCCAUGAUGACAAUGCGA
This is a long non-coding RNA of Oncorhynchus tshawytscha (Chinook salmon), 3154 nucleotides long. The record is from Ensembl. NCBI's taxonomy places the organism in Eukaryota, Metazoa, Chordata, Actinopteri, Salmoniformes, Salmonidae.